GGCGACGAUGUCGUAUGAGUAUAGGGAGAGAUACAUAGAUUUUGAAUAUGCACUAAUGAUCAACGGUUACUAGGAGUAUUAGUACGUUGUGGAAUUUUAUUUAAGCUCUAUAAUCAUCGAUUCUCACUAAUUCACCCCUCUACCCGUCGUACGUCUUUUCAAUUCCUUUUCCUUUCACGUCUCUUUCAAUGUACAUGUGAGAUAGCCUAUUCUCUCUCCUUUUGAGAAAUUGUUGGAGGUUGAAAAACAAUAUGUGCUGUAACAAAUAUUCUAUACUACUGUUUGAGGUAUGAGAAAGGAAAAUUUAAGAUCUAAUAACUUAAAUUUGUAGUGAUACCACGAACAUUGAGAAAACAUUAAAUGGUUAUCAAACAACCAUUACCAUAUACUGAUAUGUCCUUU
RNAcentral lists this long non-coding RNA (402 nucleotides) under Cucumis sativus (cucumber). Its description in RNAcentral is "long non-coding RNA (CSAT_LNC001676)". Lineage: Eukaryota; Viridiplantae; Streptophyta; Magnoliopsida; Cucurbitales; Cucurbitaceae. The record is from RNAcentral.